Molecule: long non-coding RNA, 980 nt
Organism: Pieris napi
Lineage: Eukaryota; Metazoa; Arthropoda; Insecta; Lepidoptera; Pieridae
Exons: 2
Source: RefSeq, a predicted model, not a curated record
UUUUAAUUUGUUUUAACAAAAAUUUGCUUUAUUUGCAUCUGUCAACCUUCAUGAAGGAGGACAUCUUGUAAUGUAAAUAUUGCCUGAAAUAAACGAUAUUUCAUUAUAUUAUAUUAUAUAUAUUUAUUAGAUUCCUUUCAUUUGCCGGAAAUUUUACCAUAGGGGUUAAUUUAUACAGAGAAGAUUUCUUAUAAAAUAUUUACAGCAUAGUUAUGUGUCUCAAAUCUGCUAAAAGUGGCCACUUUUAGCAGAUAUGAGAUACAUAACUAUACUUCGAACUUUUCAUAUGAAAUCAUAACUGCAUAAAUACCCCCCUAUGAUAAAAUUUUCGGCAAAUCAUAGAAAUCUAACGUAGCUAUAGUACUGUAGUUAAAACGAAUUAAAAACUUCUAGCGCUAGCUACUUCCGUGCCCUUUCACCUUAAGGGUAUUUAUUUUUCUUCUGAAGUAAAAUUCGAGCGGUGCAUGCUGUCUUAUGUCUGAUGUCAGCAUUAUUAAUAUAUUAUGUUAUCAUAUUAUUAAUAUAUUGUUUUUGUUUUCAGAUAUUUGGCAACUGGUAAUACAUUCACUGAUCUACACUAUUCCUAUGUGAUUGGAAUUGCAACAAUUAGCGAAAUAAUCCAUGAAUGUCAAGUUAGAUCUAGCACAAUUAAUAGUCAAGACGGCAUGUGUACUUCACAAUUUCAUAAGGAAACGGGAUGGCUACAAGGUCAGCCAUACAUUUGUCACAAAUGGUUUUACGGGACCACUACCCAGGCAGCAGACUGAAAGUAGUAAUACGUCGGCAAGUAAUAUCAGAGAUAUAUUUGCAGAUUACUUUAUCAAUGAAGGAAAAGUCUCCUGGCAACACCGAUAUAUAAUUAAUUAACUAAACUCAAAAGGUUUUAGAAGGUUUUUGAUGUUAUUUGUGAAUUAAAUAAUUAUGCUUAUAUUAAUAAAGUAAUGAUGCUUGUAUAAAUAAAAUAAUGAACCAAACACAUA